Podarcis lilfordi (Lilford's wall lizard) is the source of this 2749-nucleotide non-coding RNA. NCBI's taxonomy places the organism in Eukaryota, Metazoa, Chordata, Lepidosauria, Squamata, Lacertidae. The record is from the annotation of a GenBank genome assembly.
AAUAUAUUCCAGAGCUUGGGGAGUUCAUUUUUAAAAGGAACUAGUUGUAGGAGCUGUUUCCUAUAUACGUCCAUCCUUUUACAAAACUAGCUGGCUCAGUUCAUAGUCCAAUUCAAGUUCGUCCAAAUGAACCCUGCAAAAAAUAAUAAUUCAGCAUUCAGAAUGUUACAGGCCACUGUGCUAACGUAUUAAUUACCUUGUUACUGUGUGAUUCCACACCAUUUCAUUGCAAAGGGAACAUCAGAAAAAUGGUGGUGAUGAGGGAGGACCAUAAUUUAUGUAUCAUUUGCAUAUGGAAAAAACAGUAGCAGAUUGUAUUCGCUUGCCUAAUUUUUGUUCCUGACCACAGACGAACAUGCAAACUGAGGCCAUUUCUGUUUCUAUUUCCACUUGGAGUAUAAUUUUUCCGCCAUCUCUGCUUUCACAAGAAGCAUCCAUUUCUUCUUGUCACGUGGUCUAAUCCUGACAUAAGUCCACUGUUUUCAAAAGAAGGAAGCCUUGAGCUGCAGUCUCACACCCACUUCCCUGGGGGUGAGUCCCAUUGAACUUAAUGGGGCUAACUUUUGAGCCAGCGUGAGCUGUCAGAUGGCAGUCGUAUGCCUACUUACCUGGAAGUAAAUACGUUGGAACUUACUUUUUAGUAAGCAUGCUUAGGAUUAUGCCACAUCUAUCUCUCACUGGACUCAGUAGGAGAGGUACCGUGUCUUUAAAAAGUAACAUUCCUUUCAAAUGACAUUUUUAUUCGGCAUUCAUGAUGGUUUGUACUUAUGAUGAUAUUGAAGUAUUAAAUGGGAUUUUGCUUUCGACGAUAUUUGUACCUGCAUGUUUCGGAGUGGUCAUAAAGACCCCCCAAGUGUCCCUAUUUUCCAGGCACAAUCCUGGAUUUCUGAUUUCUGGGGGUUGGACUCGAUGGCCCUUGUGGUCUCUUCCAACUCUAUGAUUCUAUGAUUUGAAGCCAUCCCUGUUUCUGAUUUAAUCAGAAUGUCCUGCUUUUCCUUAGGACGUCCUUAUUUUCAUCAGACAAAUUUUGGCGGGCAUGGACUAGGUACAGGGGUCAGCAAACUUUUUCAGCAGGGGGCCGGUCCACUGUCCCUCAGACCUUGUGGGGGGCCGGACUAUAUUUUGAAGAAAAAAAAUGAACAAAUUCCUAUGCCCCACAAAUAACCCAGAGAUGCAUUUUAAAUAAAAACACACAUUCUGCUCAUGUAAAAACACCAGGCAGGCCCCACAAAUAACCCAAAGAUGCAUUUUAAAUAAAAGGACAUAUUCUACUCAUGUAAAAACACGCUGAUUCCCAGACCAUCCGUGGGCCGGAUUUAGAAGGUGAUUGGGCCGGAUCUGGCCCCCGGGCCUUAGUUUGCCUACCCAUGGACCAGGAUGUCCCUAGGGCUUUUCUCCAGCUAGAACUCACCAGUACAGUGGUACCUCGGGUUACAUACACUUCAGGUUACAUAAGCUUCAGGUUACAGACUCCGCUAACCCAGAAAUAGUACCUCGGGUUAAGAACUUUGCUUCAGGAUGAGAACAGAAAUCGUGCUCCGGCAGCGCAGCGGCAGCAGGGGGCCCCAUUAGCUAAAGUGGUGCUUCAGGUUAAGAACAGUUUCAGGUUAAGAAUGGACCUCCGGAAUGAAUUAAGUACUUAACCUGAGGUACCACUGUACUCAGUUCCAGUACCUCUCGGGUACCAUUCUAAGAGAACAAACGAAGUGUUUAUGGUGAGUUGCAGCACCUUUCCCCCUAGAAAAAUAACACUGGACAUCCCUAUUUUCAUCGGAGAGAUGCUGCAGGGUAUGGUCAUAGUGUUUUGUUUCUAGUUAGCACAUGCUCUGCAGCUUCGUGCUGAAAUCAUGUAGCUUUUUAUACCACAACUGUUCCGGCGUUGUUUUUGUUUUGACCUGCUUUGGUUGCACUAUAGUGCAAGAGUCCAUUUCCAGAUGGCAAUGACACAAUCACAUUGGGAAGUGCCCCAGAACAUCUAACAAAGCAGAAUGACAUUUGAACAGCCACAAUUAUUGCAUCAUUAUUGUAUCAGUACACUGGUUGUUGCAGUGUACACUCGCAAAAAUCACCAGUCUGGAUGGGCCCUGAUGGUGCAAUCCUAUAUAUCGUCCCAGAAGCAGGUCCCAUUGUGUUCAGUAUACAUGUCUACUGAAAAGUAAGUCCCAUUCAAAGGAGAUUGACUCUAAUACUUUUGACUUCAAUCCUGUACCUUGGAAUGAGCCCAAGUGAAUUGAAUGGGACUUCUGAGUUGACAUUAUGGGUUUCCUCUGUGAAGCAUGCCUUCAAUUGUAGUGGAACACUAUGCUUGCCUCAUCUCUUAAUUUUACAACUAUUGAAAAAGGUCGUCUUCUUCUUCUUUGGCAACCAUUCGUUGCUGAGUAAGAUUGUCUUCCAUUAACACGGUUUUAAAAGUGAGUCUGUAAGUGACUGUGGAGGCCAAUUCUGAAUCCAAAUGUUCUUCCACAGUGCGGACAUUGGUUUCUGGGUGGGAGUUGAUCACAGUGAGGGCUUGCCAAGCGUACCUUCCUCUUAGCAUGUUUCUCCCUUUUGUCCUGAGUUUUGAGUGUCUUCAAAACCCAUGACACUUUUGGUAAAGGCUGUUCUCCAACUGGAGCACUCGCAGGCCAGUGUUUCCCAGUUGUCGGUAAAAGGUAACCCAGUAGCGAUAGCAUACAUAUUGGGUAUAUUUUCAUGCCACUGUUCUGUCACACUGUGGUAGUCAUGGCAUUCCCAGUGUGAUUCAAGAAGG